GACGAACGCUGGCGGCGUGCCUAACACAUGCAAGUCGAACGGACGAGGAGGAGCUUGCUUCUCCAAGUCAGUGGCGGACGGGUGAGUAACGCGUGAGUAACCUGCCCUUCAGAGGGGGAUAACGUCUGGAAACGGACGCUAAUACCGCAUGACAUAUUUCCAUCGCAUGGUGGAGAUAUCAAAGGAGCAAUCCGCUGAAGGAUGGACUCGCGUCCGAUUAGAUAGUUGGCGGGGUAACGGCCCACCAAGUCGACGAUCGGUAGCCGGACUGAGAGGUUGAACGGCCACAUUGGGACUGAGACACGGCCCAGACUCCUACGGGAGGCAGCAGUGGGGGAUAUUGCACAAUGGGCGAAAGCCUGAUGCAGCAACGCCGCGUGAGGGAAGACGGUUUUCGGAUUGUAAACCUCUGUUCUAAGUGACGAACAAAUGACGGUAGCUUAGGAGAAAGCCCCGGCUAACUACGUGCCAGCAGCCGCGGUAAUACGUAGGGGGCAAGCGUUGUCCGGAAUUACUGGGUGUAAAGGGAGCGCAGGCGGAGAAGCAAGUCAGUGGUGAAAACGAUGGGCUUAACUCAUCGACUGCCAUUGAAACUGUUUCCCUUGAGUGAAGUAGAGGCAGGCGGAAUUCCGAGUGUAGCGGUGAAAUGCGUAGAUAUUCGGAGGAACACCAGUGGCGAAGGCGGCCUGCUGGGCUUUAACUGACGCUGAGGCUCGAAAGUGUGGGGAGCAAAA
Molecule: ribosomal RNA, 734 nt
Filed under: uncultured bacterium
Lineage: Bacteria
Description: bacterial SSU rRNA
Rfam family: Bacterial small subunit ribosomal RNA
Source: RNAcentral